RNAcentral lists this transfer RNA (73 nucleotides) under Nesterenkonia flava. Its description in RNAcentral is "tRNA-Thr". It matches the Rfam family "tRNA". Rfam says of the family: Transfer RNA (tRNA) molecules are approximately 80 nucleotides in length. The record is from RNAcentral. Lineage: Bacteria; Bacillati; Actinomycetota; Actinomycetes; Micrococcales; Micrococcaceae.
GCCACCUUAGCUCAGUCGGUAGAGCAAUUCACUCGUAAUGAAUAGGUCGCCGGUUCGAUUCCGGCAGGUGGCU